This 354-nucleotide ribosomal RNA is filed under the name uncultured eukaryote. RNAcentral's name for it is "partial 18S ribosomal RNA". It matches the Rfam family "Eukaryotic small subunit ribosomal RNA", at positions 592 to 976 of the family's 1831-position model. The record is from RNAcentral.
CAAUAGCGUAUAUUAAAGUUGUUGCAGUUAAAAAGCUCGUAGCUGGGAAAGUGAAAAUACACUCCGCUUUCUUCAAUGAUUGCAGAGAAGUGUUCUCAUUUUGACGUAGCGAUGCAUUGCAUUGGUAUGUCACAAAUACUUUGAGCAAACUAGAGUGUUCCAAGCAAACUAUUGUCUUGAAUACUGCGGCAUGGAAUCAUUUGAGAGCAUUCGACGCUCUUCUUGGUUGGGGGUCAAUUGCUGUGACUGAUAGGAACAGCUGGGGACAUUCGUAUUCAACAGUCAGAGGUGAAAUUCUUAAAUUUGUUGAAGACGAACUAAUGCGAAAGCAUUUGUCAAAAAUGUUUUCAUUAG